RNAcentral lists this ribosomal RNA (414 nucleotides) under uncultured prokaryote. RNAcentral's name for it is "partial 16S ribosomal RNA". The record is from RNAcentral.
CCCUAUGGGGCGCAGGUGGAAGUGAUAUCUCCCCAAACCUUGCGAACGGAUAUAAAGACAGAAAUAGAAAGGAUGAAAAAGAUUUAUAACUAAUAAUUUGUUUGUCAUUUCCCGACUUGAGAGGGGAAUCCGGAAAAACUUGUAAGUGAGGGGGAAUUACUUUCUGGGCAAUCCGACCGAUAGAAUGAACGUAGGGAUUGAUUCCCGACCAGAUCGCGCAACUGAUGUUCAAAAUCCCUCUUUCGAGGGAUUGAUAAUAUUUAAAGAAGUACAUAAAAACAAACCAUCAAGCCCCCGAUGUUUUGGAAUGAAUAGACACUAUUUCGGAAAUUUCUGGAACGUUUCUUCAUCUUGAGUCGAUAAAAUAAUAAUUUUGAGAAAUGUUUUUCAUGGGACAUGAAUUGGCGGGAGGGC